Molecule: long non-coding RNA, 198 nt
Filed under: Dasypus novemcinctus (nine-banded armadillo)
Lineage: Eukaryota; Metazoa; Chordata; Mammalia; Cingulata; Dasypodidae
Description: lncRNA (ENSDNOG00000051813.1)
Source: RNAcentral
GGACCAGGGCGUGCUCGCCUCCGAGGUCCCCACCGGCAGGUCCUGGCACCCUGUGGGUGCUCGGCAAGGUCGCAGUCCAAGAUUCCUGAUGGAAAUGAUGGAAACCCGAUUCAGCCCAGUAUGGACAUGUACUGUGUGCACAGAGGACGGCUGAGCCUUUAAGGGAGUUGAUAAUUUGCCCACCUGCUCAUUGACAAG